GGCCAAUCGCAUGCUGCGCUUUUAGCCGGUAUGAGGUUUGGUCAUCCGUAAGGGAAGCCAGUACGAACUUCAAUGGUCGGCUGGGGGAACUUACAAUUUACUGUGAAAAAAUUAGAGUGUUUCAGGCAGGCAAUCGCUUGGAUACUCCAGCAUGGAAUAAUGGAAUAGGACUUUGGUCUAUUUGUUGGUUUGAGAUCAAAGUA
RNAcentral lists this ribosomal RNA (203 nucleotides) under uncultured fungus. RNAcentral describes it as "partial small subunit ribosomal RNA". The stretch from base 82 to 203 matches the Rfam family "Eukaryotic small subunit ribosomal RNA", at positions 736 to 864 of the family's 1831-position model. Lineage: Eukaryota; Fungi. The record is from RNAcentral.